UGGGGAAUAUUGGACAAUGGGCGCAAGCCUGAUCCAGCCAUGCCGCGUGAGUGAUGAAGGCCCUAGGGUUGUAAAGCUCUUUCACCGAUGAAGAUAAUGACGGUAGUCGGAGAAGAAGCCCCGGCUAACUUCGUGCCAGCAGCCGCGGUAAUACGCAGGGGGCUAGCGUUGUUCGGAAUUACUGGGCGUAAAGCGCACGUAGGCGGAUAUUUAAGUCAGGGGUGAAAUCCCAGAGCUCAACUCUGGAACUGCCUUUGAUACUGGGUAUCUCGAGUAUGGAAGAGGUGAGUGGAAUUCCGAGUGUAGAGGUGAAAUUCGUAGAUAUUCGGAGGAACACCAGUGGCGAAGGCGGCUCACUGGUCCAUUACUGACGCUGAGGUGCGAAAGCGUGGGGAGCAAACA
RNAcentral lists this ribosomal RNA (402 nucleotides) under uncultured prokaryote. RNAcentral describes it as "bacterial SSU rRNA". It matches the Rfam family "Bacterial small subunit ribosomal RNA", at positions 355 to 774 of the family's 1533-position model. The record is from RNAcentral.